UGCAGUCGAACGGUAACAGGAAGCAGCUUGCUGCUUCGCUGACGAGUGGCGGACGGGUGAGUAAUGUCUGGGAAACUGCCUGAUGGAGGGGGAUAACUACUGGAAACGGUAGCUAAUACCGCAUAACGUCGCAAGACCAAAGAGGGGGACCUUCGGGCCUCUUGCCAUCAGAUGUGCCCAGAUGGGAUUAGCUAGUAGGUGGGGUAACGGCUCACCUAGGCGACGAUCCCUAGCUGGUCUGAGAGGAUGACCAGCCACACUGGAACUGAGACACGGUCCAGACUCCUACGGGAGGCAGCAGUGGGGAAUAUUGCACAAUGGGCGCAAGCCUGAUGCAGCCAUGCCGCGUGUAUGAAGAAGGCCUUCGGGUUGUAAAGUACUUUCAGCGGGGAGGAAGGCGAUGCGGUUAAUAACCGCGUCGAUUGACGUUACCCGCAGAAGAAGCACCGGCUAACUCCGUGCCAGCAGCCGCGGUAAUACGGAGGGUGCAAGCGUUAAUCGGAAUUACUGGGCGUAAAGCGCACGCAGGCGGUCUGUCAAGUCGGAUGUGAAAUCCCCGGGCUCAACCUGGGAACUGCAUCCGAAACUGGCAGGCUUGAGUCUCGUAGAGGGGGGUAGAAUUCCAGGUGUAGCGGUGAAAUGCGUAGAGAUCUGGAGGAAUACCGGUGGCGAAGGCGGCCCCCUGGACGAAGACUGACGCUCAGGUGCGAAAGCGUGGGGAGCAAACAGGAUUAGAUACCCUGGUAGUCCACGCCGUAAACGAUGUCGACUUGGAGGUUGUGCCCUUGAGGCGUGGCUUCCGGAGCUAACGCGUUAAGUCGACCGCCUGGGGAGUACGGCCGCAAGGUUAAAACUCAAAUGAAUUGACGGGGGCCCGCACAAGCGGUGGAGCAUGUGGUUUAAUUCGAUGCAACGCGAAGAACCUUACCUGGUCUUGACAUCCACAGAACUUUCCAGAGAUGGAUUGGUGCCUUCGGGAACUGUGAGACAGGUGCUGCAUGGCUGUCGUCAGCUCGUGUUGUGAAAUGUUGGGGUUAAGUCCCGCAACGAGCGCAACCCUUAUCCUUUGUUGCCNGCGGUUAGGCCNGGAACUCAAAGGGAGACUGCCCAGUGAUAAACUGGAAGAAAGGUGGGGGAUGAACUUCAAGUCAUCAUGGGCC
This 1160-nucleotide ribosomal RNA is filed under the name Kosakonia sp. Its description in RNAcentral is "bacterial SSU rRNA". It matches the Rfam family "Bacterial small subunit ribosomal RNA", at positions 56 to 1201 of the family's 1533-position model. Lineage: Bacteria; Pseudomonadati; Pseudomonadota; Gammaproteobacteria; Enterobacterales; Enterobacteriaceae. The record is from RNAcentral.